Molecule: long non-coding RNA, 2726 nt
Organism: Cercocebus atys (sooty mangabey)
Lineage: Eukaryota; Metazoa; Chordata; Mammalia; Primates; Cercopithecidae
Exons: 2
Source: RefSeq, a predicted model, not a curated record
UUGUAGUGAAAAAAAUCACUGUAGAGGUAUGCCAGGCAGUUAAUUAAGACAAUGUUAUUUUUCUGGAAAUUUUUAAAAAAUAUGUCAGCUGUUCAAUUUUGUAAUUUGUUGUGAUUUCUCAUAAUAAGUAAAUGUUAACUUUUGUACAUAGUUGCUUGAAUUGUUCAUACUUUUUAAUAUUCUUUUUCUUAGAGUCCUCCAAAUUAUAAAUUUCAGUACCCAAAAUCCGGAUCUGUCCCUGAGGUCAUAAAAAGUAGGAGCUUUUGAGUUGCAAUUGGAAAGGGUUAAUAGGGAUGUGGAUGUGGUUGAGAACUGGGAAAUAUAGCAAUUGUGGAAGUUGAAUUAAUAUAAUUUGUAAAGACUACAACAUUAUGACCAUCUACUGAAAUCUGAAAAUCCAAGGUGUCCUCUGUACUAUGGGAUUAUGUGACCUCAAUGUCUGACUUCAUGGAAAAGCCUCACACAACAUAGGGGCCCCUCAUAAGGGGAGCCUCCAGCUGCUCUGUACAUUUCAAACAUCCAAAAUAGUGGCGCCUAGAGUAUCUAUAUUUGUAUUAUUAUUGAGCAGCAAAAACAGUUGGCUGGGUUAUUCACCCACAUGCAUACUUGAAUCUACCUCCUGCUUCCCAUCUGAAAAUAAAUAGCUGUUUUCUAUUUUCUAGUGACAAACAGGAUGUAGGCUGUUAGUAAUAAUAGUAAAGAUAAUAACUAUAAGGAACAGAACAUACAAAUAUUGAAAAGAAUUGGUGAAACCUCACUCACUCUCCCUCCCAGUUUGUUUCCUGAGCCCCAUUUCAGCGUCUGGACAGAACUGCCAGGGAGCUGCUAGACUUCAGGAUCUUGGGGGAGGGGAGGUGGAGAAUUUAGAGACAGGAGAGAAAAAAAGAAGACAGGAUCAAUUAACUCUAAAAGGCUGAUCCUCCCUGAUAAUCUGAGAAAGGCGAAUAAAUACUCUAGGAAGAUGAUACCCUUUCAGAUUGUCAGGUUGGGCUGGGGAUGGGCAACCCGGCUUCUGCUGAAGUGCUGUUGGGAGGGCUAAUUAGGGAUCCGAGCUCACUGUUAACACACGGGCCUCACUGGACAAAGGGCUGACGUGAAUUGAAGUCAGUAUAUAGUCUGAGUUCUCUUUCCAUCCUGAGCACCAUCUCCCUAUUGCCUUAGAGGCAGGCGGGAGUGCUUCUUGCUACUAAACAGAAAAGGAGGAGACUACUGUUGGCCGCGGAUCUGAAAAGGUUUGAAUGAUUACAGGCUAUCUGAAGGCGAAGCAGAAGAUCAUAACGCGUCCAAGACUGCGUUGACUAUACCCCUUUCCGGCCCCUACGCCGAUUUAUUUUAGGGGGAAAAAAAUGGUGGGCUUGGGGGAGGGAUCUGGGAUGGGAAUGGCCGUCAGUUUUGUGUACCGGGCCCCUAUUGUAUUGAAAGCAAGCUAGCUUCUCGCUCAGGGAAAGGGGAGGAGAAAAAUGUCCUGGCUCUCCGCAAGUCAAGUCGGUGUGAGGGGAGGAAUCACCUGCAAACCUGUGGAAUGGAAAACGGACACCGCAGCGGGUCUUGUACUGCAGUUCCCACAGCCACGCCCCCUGCCCAUUUUAAUUCAGAAAAUGGUGGGCAGUGGGGAAUGCUGGGGAGAUGAGCAGAAACCCUGUGUGGAUGUUAGCUUCCUAUUACAGAGGAUGUGGGAGUUUUGAGCGAAAGAUGGAAAAAGAGGGUUGCUGUGAGCUGACUGCAUCCUGAAGAUUACAGCUACUGUCAGGUGGACCUUUCCACACAGCUGUAUACCAUUCCAGUAACCCCUCCCUUACCUCCCACUCCCUCUGCUCCUCCCCACUUCCUUUCCUCUGGUCUCCUUUGCAGAGGGGUAGUAACACUAUGUUAUGCCCUGAAUUGUGCACCCACCCCUCCCCACACCCACCAAAUUCAUGUUGAAGUCCUAAUCCCCAAUACCUCAGCAUGUGACUGUAGUUGGAAAUAGGGUCUUUACAGAGAUAGCUAAAUUAAAUGAGGUCACUGGGGUGGGUCCUAAUCCAGUGACUAGUGUCCUUAGAAGAGAUUAGGACACAGAUACAGAGAAAAAGGCCAUGUGAUGACAGGGAGGACAGCUGUGUAGAAGUCAAAGAGAGAGGCCUCAAAAAAAAUCCUCUGGCAACACCUUGAUCUGACUUCCAACAUCCAGAACUGUGAGAAAAUAAAUUUAUUGUUUAAGCCACUCAGUCUCUGGUACUUUGUUAUGGCAGCCUGAGCCAGCUAAUAUACACCACAACCCUACCCCUCUGGUGACAACUCAGGGAAAAAAUUCUUUAACUCUCGUCAAAUCAUCCAUUUUUGAGUUCCAUUUAUUUAUUGCUUGGAUCUUGAAUGAUCCAGCAGAAUUACACAAUUCUUAUUUGCAUUUGUUCUUACUAUGUUUUCUAAAAUUUCUACAAUAACCACAGAAUACCAGCCUCAGUAACAUGAAAGGCACACUGCAAAUUACUUGCUUUGAAAUUUAGAAACAAAUUUUAUUUAAGAUCUGAAAUACAAUUCCUAAAAUAUCAACUUUUCCAGAAAACCGUGGCUACACAAUAAUGCAUUGCCUCUAUCAUGUUAGAACGUGCAUUAGACUCAAAUACAAAAACCAUGAAACAAAUCACCAUCCUUCAACAAUUUGAGCAAAGAUAGAAUGCUUAAGAACGACAUAGAUGGACUUGCAGAGGAUGGGCUGUUUUACUUCAAGCACCAUAAAAAAAAAA